RNAcentral lists this long non-coding RNA (440 nucleotides) under Junco hyemalis (dark-eyed junco). Its description in RNAcentral is "lncRNA (ENSJHYG00000008715.1)". Lineage: Eukaryota; Metazoa; Chordata; Aves; Passeriformes; Passerellidae. The record is from RNAcentral.
CCUCGUUCCUAUUGGCCGCCGUGGCUGUCAAUCACCUCCUGCCCGGGCUGGGCGUGGCCGCGGCGCUGGCGCUGGGGGAGGGGCUUGUGGGGGGCGGGGCCUACGGGAACGCCUUCAGCAACCUGGGCGAGCAGGUGCCCCUCCCCCAGCAGCCGCUGGCCAUCGCUGUGGUCACUCUGGGGGCCGAAGUCGCCAUCGCUGCGGCCGGAGCGGCCGGACUGGGGGCGCACGCGGCGUUCUGCGGCCGGGAGUGACCCUGAGUGACCACUGAGUGACCACUGACCAGUGAGUGACCAGUGACCACUGAGUGACCACUGAGUGACCACUGAGUGACCGCUGAGUGACCAAUGAGUGACCACUGACCAGUGAGUGACCACUGAGUGACCUCUGAGUGACCACUGAGUGACCACUGAGUGACCUCUGGAAUGGCGUGGAAGUGA